This is a long non-coding RNA of Salvelinus fontinalis (brook trout), 2997 nucleotides long. RefSeq lists it as uncharacterized. The record is from RefSeq and is a predicted model, not a curated record. NCBI's taxonomy places the organism in Eukaryota, Metazoa, Chordata, Actinopteri, Salmoniformes, Salmonidae. The transcript has 2 exons.
CCCCCCCCCCCCCUUAAAAGAUCUGAUGCACUAUUGUAAAGUGGCUGUUCCACCGGAUGCCAUAAGGUGAAUGCACCAAUUUGUAAGUCGCUCUGGAUAAGAGCGUCUGCUAAAUGACUUAAAUGUUAAAAUGUUAAAUGUUAAAUGUUAAUGAUCACAUUGUAAAAUAGUUGAUGAAUUUAUCUUAAUGACCUUUCUGUUAGUGCUUUUGAACGUCAUUAUGUCAUUAUUAUUAUUAUUAUUAUUGUAGUCAGAGAGUCAAGAUGAAACAGUGUUUUGUUUUUCUGAAUGUAGGAAUUCACUCACGGACCUGGUAUCUUAAUGUGAGUCAUGUAGUGGUGACUCAACAGAAAAAUAAUAACAGUUAUAAAAUGACAACAAAUAAUACAACUGUAAUUUAAAUAUUACAAAGCUCUUCGAAACACAUUUCAGUACUGCUGUUGUUAGAUUCAUAUCAACCAUGUAGGUGUUUGUCCUUUGGCGAUUAGUUUCUGAUGAUUUUGGCUUUGUUUUUUGUUUUUGAUCAUGUUUCUUCCUCAUGAUUAUUCUGAAGGCGCUCCAUAGAUUGCCAUGGCGAUAUAAUGAACACUGUUUUAGAGGCAGAUGUAGUACUGUGAUGUUGUUCACUACAGUUAGCUAGGUAGGUAGAUAUAUAGGCAGAUAGAUAUAAUUCUACAUUGAUUGUACACUAAAUACAGUUGUACAUUUGAUAUAGUAUAUUAUAAGAUGUAUUUUAAGGCGUGUAUAAUGUCUGCUGUUAACACCUCUGUUGCGUCUGAUGUCAGUGCAGUUGUACAUUUGUUCAUGAAUGGCUAGAUAAAUAGGUAGGUAGCUAGAUAAAUAGGUAGUUAGGUAGAUAAAUAGGUAGGUAGGUAGGUAAGUAGGUAGGUAGGUAGGUAGGUAGGUAGGUAGCUAGCUAGAAUUGUAAGUAGGUAGGUAGAUAUUGUAGGUAGGUAGUUAGAUAUAGUAGGUAGGAAGUUAGAUAUUGUAGGUAGGUAGGUAGGUAGAUAUCUUCUAGGUAGGUAGAUAGAUACAUAUUGUAGGUAAGUAGGUACUCUAGGGAGAUAUAUAUUGUAGGUAGGUAGGUAGGUAGGUAGGUACUCUAGGUAGAUAGAUAUUGUAGGUAGGUAGGUACUCUAGGUAGAUAGAUAUUAUAGAUAGGUAGGUACUCUAGGUAGAUAUAUAUUGUAGAUAGGUAGGUACUCUAGGUAGAUAGAUAUUAUAGAUAGGUAGGUACUCUAGGUAGAUAGAUAUUAUAGAUAGGUAGGUACUCUAGGUAGAUAGAUAUUAUAGAUAGGUAGGUACUCUAGGUAGAUAGAUAUUAUAGAUAGGUACUCUAGGUAGAUAGAUAUUAUAGAUAGGUAGGUACUCUAGGUAGAUAGAUAUUAUAGAUAGGUAGGUACUCUGGGUAGAUAGAUAUUAUAGAUAGGUAGGUACUCUAGGUAGAUAGAUAUUAUAUAUAGGUAGGUACUCUAGGUAGAUAGAUAUUGUAGAUAGCUAGGUACUCUAGGUAGAUAAAUAUUAUAGAUAGGUAGGUAGUCUAGGUAGAUAGAUAUUAUAGAUAGGUAGGUACUCUAGGUAGAUAGAUAUUAUAGAUAGGUAGGUACUCUAGGUAGAUAGAUAUUGUAGAUAGGUAGGUACUCUAGGUAGAUAGAUAUUAUAGAUAGGUAGGUACUCUAGGUAGAUAGAUAUUAUAGAUGGGUAGGUAGUCUAGGUAGAUAGAUAUUAUAGAUAGGUAGGUACUCUAGGUAGAUAGAUAUUGUAGAUAGAUAUUAUAGAUAUGUAGGUACUCUAGGUAGAUAGAUAUUAUAGAUUGGUAGGUACUCUAGGGAGAUAUAUAUUGUAGGGAGGUAGGUAGGUACUCUAGGUAGAUAGAUAUUGUAGAUAGAUAUUGUAGGUAGAUAUUUACAUUUACAUUUAAGUCAUUUAGCAGACGCUCUUAUCCAGAGCGACUUACAAAUGUACCUUUUUAUAUUUAACUAGGCAAGUCAGUUAAGAACAAAUUCUUAUUUUUCAAUGACGGCCUAGGAACAGUGGGUUAACUGCCUGUUCAGGGGCAGAACGACAGAUUUGUACCUUGUCAGCUCGGGGAUUUUAACUUGCAACCUUUCGGUUACUAGUCCAACGCUCUAGCCACUAGGCUACCCUGCCGCCCCACCCCAUGACUCACAGUAGGUAUUGUAGGUAGAUAUAUAUUGUAGGUAGAUAUAUAUUGUAGGUAGAUAUAUAUUGUAGGUAGGUAGGUAGGUACUCUAGGUAGAUAGAUAUUGUAGAUAGAUAGGUACUCUAGGUAGAUAGAUAUUGUAGAUAUACAGUAUAUUGUAGGUAGAUAGAUAUUUUUGUAGUUUGAUGUUUACAAAUUAUAACGUCUACAUUCUGGAAUAGAAACAACAAGUCACUGAGAUGCUUAUCUCUCGUCUGCAGAAAACCUGCCGUGACUGAGUGUACUGUCAACCCCACACCAGUGGUUUAACUUCCCAUCUGCUGAUGACACAUCCUGAAAGACACACAGCUGGUUUUCCUCAGCGUGACAUCAUCAAACUGCAACAUACUCGGCUCGGCCUCGAAACACACUGAUGACUUAACUUAAAGGUUGUCUGUCCUGCAACUGUACGACAGCGAAGUGAAAUGUACUUAUUUAUUUGUAUUUUUUUUGGGGGGGGGACCUAUUUAUAUUUUGCAGAUUAACUUGCUAGUGCAACCACUCUUUGGGUUCUCCACAUACCACUACGUUUUCACAGGUAAACAUAGAUCAACCGAUCAAUCCCCGUAGAAAGAACUAUGACAAGUACUGUGGCAGGUUUGCCAUCAAAAUUGAUGAACCAGCAAACAGUUAAAAAUCUUAUUUCCAAAAGUAUGACUCUUCUAUACCUAAAAGUUCUGAUCACACCUGACCUGGCUGAAGGUUAGGAUACCCCGAUGACUGGAAACCCAAUGUAUUCUCCUCCAACAAAUACAACGCUGGUUUGUAUCAAUAAACUGUUGCUUCAUUGAAAA